GAUGAACGCUGGCGGCGUGCCUAAUACAUGCAAGUCGAGCGAACAGAUGAGGAGCUUGCUCCUCUGACGUUAGCGGCGGACGGGUGAGUAACACGUGGAUAACCUCCCUAUAAGACUGGGAUAACUUCGGGAAACCGGAGCUAAUACCGUAUAAUAUAUUGCACCGCAUGGUUCGAUAGUGAAAGACGGUUUUGCUGUAUCGUAUAGAUGGAUCCGCGCCGCAUUAGCUGGUUGGUGAGGUAACGGAUUACCAAGGCAACGAUGCGUAGCCGACAGGAGAGGGUGGUCGGCCGCACUGGAAGUGAGACACGCUCCAGACUGCUAGGGGAGGCAGCAGUAGGGAAUCUGCCGCAAGGGGCGAAGACCAGACGGAGCAACGCCGCGUGAGUGAUGAAGGUCUUCGGAUCGUAAAACUCUGUUAUUAGGGAGGAACAAAUGUGUAAGUAACUAUGAACGUCUUGACGGUACCUAAGCAGAAAGCCACGGCUAACUACGUG
Molecule: ribosomal RNA, 497 nt
Filed under: uncultured bacterium
Lineage: Bacteria
Description: partial 16S ribosomal RNA
Rfam family: Bacterial small subunit ribosomal RNA
Source: RNAcentral